Molecule: ribosomal RNA, 661 nt
Filed under: Bifidobacterium longum
Lineage: Bacteria; Bacillati; Actinomycetota; Actinomycetes; Bifidobacteriales; Bifidobacteriaceae
Description: bacterial SSU rRNA
Rfam family: Bacterial small subunit ribosomal RNA
Source: RNAcentral
CAGUCGAACGGGAUCCAUCAAGCUUGCUUGGUGGUGAGAGUGGCGAACGGGUGAGUAAUGCGUGACCGACCUGCCCCAUACACCGGAAUAGCUCCUGGAAACGGGUGGUAAUGCCGGAUGUUCCAGUUGAUCGCAUGGUCUUCUGGGAAAGCUUUCGCGGUAUGGGAUGGGGUCGCGUCCUAUCAGCUUGACGGCGGGGUAACGGCCCACCGUGGCUUCGACGGGUAGCCGGCCUGAGAGGGCGACCGGCCACAUUGGGACUGAGAUACGGCCCAGACUCCUACGGGAGGCAGCAGUGGGGAAUAUUGCACAAUGGGCGCAAGCCUGAUGCAGCGACGCCGCGUGAGGGAUGGAGGCCUUCGGGUUGUAAACCUCUUUUAUCGGGGAGCAAGCGUGAGUGAGUUUACCCGUUGAAUAAGCACCGGCUAACUACGUGCCAGCAGCCGCGGUAAUACGUAGGGUGCAAGCGUUAUCCGGAAUUAUUGGGCGUAAAGGGCUCGUAGGCGGUUCGUCGCGUCCGGUGUGAAAGUCCAUCGCUUAACGGUGGAUCCGCGCCGGGUACGGGCGGGCUUGAGUGCGGUAGGGGAGACUGGAAUUCCCGGUGUAACGGUGGAAUGUGUAGAUAUCGGGAAGAACACCAAUGGCGAAGGCAGGUCUCUGG